GAUGAACGCUGGCGGCGUGCCUAAUACAUGCAAGUCGAGCGAACGGACGAGAAGCUUGCUUCUCUGAUGUUAGCGGCGGACGGGUGAGUAACACGUGGAUAACCUACCUAUAAGACUGGGAUAACUUCGGGAAACCGGAGCUAAUACCGGAUAAUAUUUUGAACCGCAUGGUUCAAAAGUGAAAGACGGUCUUGCUGUCACUUAUAGAUGGAUCCGCGCUGCAUUAGCUAGUUGGUAAGGUAACGGCUUACCAAGGCAACGAUGCAUAGCCGACCUGAGAGGGUGAUCGGACACACUGGAACUGAGACACGGUCCAGACUCCUACGGGAGGCAGCAGUAGGGAAGCUUCCGCAAUGGGCGAAAGCCUGACGGAGCAACGCCGCGUGAGUGAUGAAGGUCUUCGGAUCGUAAAACUCUGUUAUUAGGGAAGAACAUAUGUGUAAGUAACUGUGCACAUCUUGACGGUACCUAAUCAGAAAGCCACGGCUAACUACGUG
Molecule: ribosomal RNA, 497 nt
Filed under: uncultured bacterium
Lineage: Bacteria
Description: partial 16S ribosomal RNA
Rfam family: Bacterial small subunit ribosomal RNA
Source: RNAcentral